GACGAACGCUGGCGGCGUGCUUAACACAUUCAAGUCGUACGGUAAGGCCCUUUCGGGGGUACACGAGUGGCGUACGGGUGAGUAACACGUUAGUAACCUUCCCACACCUUUGGGAUAACGCUAGGAAACUGGUGCUCAUACUGGAUAUGUUCUCCUGCUGCAUGGUGGGGGUUGUAAAGCUCCGGCGGUUGGGGAUGGCCUCGCGGCCUAUCAGCUUGUUGGUGGGGUAGUGGCCUACCAAGGCGGCGACGGGUAGCCGGCCUGAGAGGGUGACCGGCCACAUUGGGACUGAGAUACGGCCCAGACUCCUACGGGAGGCAGCAGUGGGGAAUAUGGCACAAUGGGCGCAAGACUGAUGCAGCAACGCCGCGUGAGGGAUGACGGCCUUCGGGUUGUAAACCGCUUAAAGCAGGGACGAAGCUUUUUGUGACGGUACCUGCAGAAGAAGCAAGGGCUAACUACGUG
This 465-nucleotide ribosomal RNA is filed under the name uncultured bacterium. RNAcentral describes it as "partial 16S ribosomal RNA". It matches the Rfam family "Bacterial small subunit ribosomal RNA", at positions 28 to 507 of the family's 1533-position model. The record is from RNAcentral.